RNAcentral lists this long non-coding RNA (3235 nucleotides) under Monomorium pharaonis (pharaoh ant). RNAcentral's name for it is "uncharacterized LOC118644665". Lineage: Eukaryota; Metazoa; Arthropoda; Insecta; Hymenoptera; Formicidae. The record is from RNAcentral.
UUCAUUGAGGUUUACCAAGUAUAAUCCUUUGUUUUAAGUGUGCAUAAUAUAUAAUAAAUGUUUUUAUUAAAAAAAAAUUUUUUAGGGGAACUUUGCACUAUUAAUCAAAAUAAAAAGUAUUUAUAUAUAUACAUAUUUUUUCCACUAUUUGAAAGAUAAUAUAUAUCUAAUUUCUACUAUCUUAUCAUUAAAAAAAUAUUAUUUUUUACAAUUUUAAUCUGUUUGUACACUUAUUAGUGUAUAAUGAGAACUGUCAUUCAGUAUUAUCGUUCGAUAAUAUUGAUAAACAUUAAUUUUAUCAGUUAUAGUAUAAAUAAUAGUAUAAAUAGUAUAAAUAAUAGUAUAACGAUAUAAAUAAAUAUAGUAAAAUCAUUUAUUGAAACGAUUAAAAUUGUUGACCUAUAUGAAAUAUCUCGUGUAUGAUGUAAUAGAAAUAAGAUAAGAUAAAGUAUAUGAAAUACGUUAUACACAUUUUUUACUUUUAUGUUUACUUAUUCUAUUACGUUAUACUCAAGUAUUUCAAAUAUAUUCGGACAAAAUAUUUAUAAACAUAAAAAACAACACAAUAUGCCUAAUAAUAAAAAUAUAAUAUAAAUAGUUACAUAUAAAAUCUUUUUAAAAUAUUUAAUAAUUCUUUAUUAAAUCUCGAGUGGUUGCACCUUUUUUUUUUAUUCGCUAAAAUAUUUUGAAUUGCCGCUGUUCAAUCUACUAUAUCGACAUUUCAAAAACCGCGACUCACUUCGUGACAGAUUUCAGAUCGGUCAACGAACGCGUUGUGUUCUUUCGUUUCGCGUUUCUUCUUCACGAUUGUUGUUGUCUAAAGAUUUCACGCGUGAAAGAUAAUCGGAAUGCUAUAUGAAAUGAUCUUCGUUACGGGAUCGCUAUUACGAGCUGAUGUCGAAAUUUCGGUAUCGACGAUUCGUCUCUGCACAUCCGACGACAAUCGAAAUCGUCUUCGCGUAUUCUAAGAGCUAUACUCUUUCAUUAGAGGUUAAGUAGGACAAAUGCAUGAUUAUUAACGAGUUCGUAUCUCACAUUAAUAUCCUUAAAAACUACAGGCGUGUAUUAUUUAUUUCUCAAUAACAUUCUUUAGCAGAUUACAGUCCAAUACAUAAUUUUGAAUUUAUUUUUGCGUGGGCAUGUAUGCGUAUCCGUGUACGUGUGAUCGGACAUCGAGUGUCGUGAAGUGCCGCGAAACAGCGGGGUCCAGUCACUUGCUUGAAGUUGCAGCUUCGUUGAUGUGACAAUGCUAUUUUCAAAGAAUCGCCAUGUUGCAUGUCGAAUCACGAUUAACAAGUGCCGGACCGUGCCGGGUUCGAAUCCUCUCCGCGUCUUUCGCGGAGUUUAUCACGGGUAAAAAAUUCCCGGGCGAGGAGUGCCGAUCUCGCGAGUAGUCCUCGUCUAUUAAUUACGUGUGCCGUCCACCGGUGCCGCGAUCUCGACGUCGUCGAUGUUCUUCGAAGUCCUUAAUUCAGCUGAAGGUGCAGAAUCGAAGUCCUUAAUUGAGCUGAAGGCGCAGGAUCGCCGCCCAAUCUCAUGGUUACCGAAGAGGAUCGGAUGGAGCUUGGGGAUUCCAAGGAUAGGGAUGGAGCUUGGGGAGCGACGCCGUCGUUCGGUGAGUUUAUCAUAAAUUUUUUGUAUGCAUUGCAUGGAGAUGUUUUAUCUCGAUUUGUCGGAUGUGCAAUACGUUCAUCUCGUUGUGUGUUUUGAAAAUAAACCGCAGCGCUCGGGUAAACUACGCCGCGGUACAGCGGCUCCAGUUAGCACAGUGCAUAUCUACUUUUAAUUAUGUACGAAAAAAUCAGUUGCGAGAAAAUAUUGUUGCAUGCAGUGUUGAUUUACGACGAGCACCAUGCAAUUAUGUUGGUAAGCAGAACAAGAUCUCGAUAAAUCGUAUCAAAAUUAUAUUAAAAUCAUGAUUGAUAGAAAAAAGACUUUUAACAAUUUUGGUGCUAUUUUGACGCAAUUUUAAUGUCAUCGUCAUGGAUGACUUUUUCUCUGUUUGGAAAUGAACAUGUUAAAACACAACGAUCAAUAAAUUCACGAAGACGGGGAAUGUAACAAUGGUUUAUAUACAUGUUUAUAUUAUUUGGAGAAUAAAACUGGGAGUUAUAUUUAUUAUAUUUUAUCGACAUUAAAAGUUUAUUGUAUCGUUACAUCAAAAAAAAUUACGAAAUGCAUAUCGAGGUAAAUAAUUAUUUUGUUUACAAACCUUCCGCGUUGUUCUCUCUUUCAAUCUUUUCUAAAUAAUUUCUAAAAACGAGUAGGAUGUAUGCACGCAAUUAUUUUUAUUUUUUAUUUAUUUAUUUAGAUAAACUAACUACAGAUAGAAGCUAUUCGUGUCACAAAAAUGAUUAGGAAUAUUGAUUUUAUUGGUAUUAGUUUUCCACUAUUUGAAAGCAUUAAAUUCAAGGAAAACAUUUCCAUAAAUCUUAAUUGCGUAUAAUAUAUGCAUCAAUAUUUAAAAAACAAAUUGUUGUAUUUUUGAUUAUGUUUGCAGUAAUAAAAAUGAAAUUAAAAUUAGAAAAGGUAAGUAAAAUUAAUAUGUUUGUUUAGAGAAUAUUUGUUCAGAAGGUGAGUUAUACACAGGUAAUAACAUGGAAUAAUAACUUAAUAAACCAUCGCAAUACAGUAAAGUAAAUAAUAAAUCAGACCGUAUUUACUUAACAUCGCACAUUCAAUUUAUUAGAAUUAGAAGAGUAAUGCAUUCAGUCAGCAGGGAAAAUACAAGUCCUAUGGUAAUUAUAAUAUUAUAGAAGUUUGGCACUCGAAUCAGUUCACUUUUGGUGGAUGUAAAAAAGCCUAACAGUUCGCCUCUAAUAUGUUCAUGAAUCAACGAACGGGUUCUCUCUCUUUCUCUCUCUCUCUCUCUCUCUCUCUCUCUCUCUCUCUCUCUCUCUCUCUCUCUCUCUCUCUCUUUCUCUGACUCUCUGGAUAAAAUGUCUUUAAUUAGAAUCUAUCAAUGCGUAUGCAAUGAAUUCAUGGAACAGUACAUUCUACAUAGAAGUGUUGUACGCAUUAUAAUAUAUGCAAUAUAUUAUGAUUGCUAUAAUCAACAUUCACAUUAAACUGUUUUAUUAGAUACACUUCUAAGAUUUUAGGAAAAUUAAUUAAUCCACUUUUGGCCAGACAUUUAUUUGAAUUUCUGCGAAAAUGUACGAGAUUUUCAUUUUUAUUAAUACAUUGUAGUUUUAUAUCUUAGGUAAUUUGAACUGUUGUCUAAAAAAAUUGUUUU